Non-coding RNA from Caretta caretta (loggerhead turtle), 1077 nucleotides. NCBI's taxonomy places the organism in Eukaryota, Metazoa, Chordata, Testudines, Cheloniidae. The record is from the annotation of a RefSeq genome assembly.
CCUGGGUCUGUGCAGUCACCAGCCAGUCCCCUGAGAACUUUCCCCUCCAGCACCCGGGAAAAUGGGAUUUUUGCUCCUUGUCAUUGUCGCUCUAGCAGCUUUGGAAGGUGUCCGGUCCCAGACGCUGGUGGAGUCCGGAGGGGGUGUGAAGAAGCCCGGAGACUCUCUCCGCCUCUCCUGCAAAGCCUCCGGGUUCACCUUCAGCAGCUACGGGAUGAGCUGGGUCCGCCAGGCUCCCGGGAAGGGAUUAGAAUGGGUCGCUUAUAUAAGCUACGAUGGGAGUAGUAUAGACUACCUCGAUGCAGUGAAAGGGCGAUUCACCAUCUCCAGGGAUAACGCCAAGAGUGAGCUGUAUCUGCAAAUGACCGGCCUGAAGCCCGAGGACACCGCCCGCUAUUACUGUGCGAGAGACACAGUGACACCAAACCGGUUUGUGAUCGUACAAAAACCCAGGCUGCGGAAUCGCCCUUCUCCCGGCGGCCGCGCGGGGGCAGCAGCGACACCCCCCGCUUCGGGCUCGGGCAGGAGACCCGGCACCCGGGGGAACGGGACACAAACCUCCCGCCAGUUUAACCCUUCCGUUCCCGGGCAAUGUGUCUCCCCUUCCUGCCCAGAGCCCCGCUGAGUGCACAGAUCCCUCGCUUCAUCUGUGAACCCCAAUCCGGAGUGAGUCCUGUUCUGAGUCGCUCUCCCCCCGCAGACCCGGUACGUUGGCUCCCGCUGGGCCAGUCUCGGUGUCAGACUCACAGGCCAGCGUCUGUCAGUGUAAAGGGGACAAGCGCGUUGGGGUUUGCAUCAGACCCAACGGGUGGAGAGAAUUGCUCCUGGGGCCAAAUCCUCCGCCAGUGUAAAGACACCGCAACUGCUUUCACUGGACUGGAGUUACUCCUGAUUUACACCAGGGAGGCUCUGGCCCUUUCAGCAAACUGGGAUGUUUAUCGCAUUAAUGCAGCGGAAGGUGAUUAGCUCGUUAUAACCGAUGUGAGGCCCCCAGGGCCAGUGCAAGGAUAAUUUUGCGCCCUGGGCGAAACUUCCACCUGGCGACCCUCCUCCCCGUCCCCCUCCACUGUGCCCCCC